UCUUGUUCUGUGACUCCUAAAAUAAGUAUCAAUUUACUUAUGUUUUGUUCGGCUGUUCAUGGGGAAGGCUGCUCUCAACACUUACAUCACAAUGAGGUGAGUGACACCAGGUGGUUUUGUUUGGGAAAUUAGAAGCUUGAGGUUUAUAAUAAAAAAAAAAUGGGUAGGAGGAAAUGUGUUAGCAGAAAUCUUGGAGAGAAUUAGUAAGUUCCUUGGCUGCUCCUAAGGCAAGUGCUUAAAGCCUCUACAUCUUCCUCUUCUCAAAGCAAGUUCAGCAGAAGAUACAACAUGUUCAUUUGCCACCAGUGAGAUCAAUUAUUUGAAUUUCUAACACAGAAUAGAAAUGAGGAAUAUGGAAAAAAAGGAAAUGAGGAAGAUAGGGUUUAAGUUCAAAAGGCUGUUAAAAUGGAAAUCUCUGAAGAAAAAUUGUUCCCACUAUUACAUUACUAAACAUAUUUCUAAUAUAAACAAAAGACACUGGCUUUGGGUUGAGGUCUGUAAGCAGACACUGAUGAGGCCCAUAUCAGGUGCUGCUUCUAGUCCUGAGAUUGUGGUUCUCAUAUUGCAAAAAGACAUUUGAGGUCAUAUAGGUUACACACCUUCCUGUAUGCUUCUGCUUCCCCAGCAGCCAUGUUAAGGGUGAGCUUGAAGAAGGUCCAGACAAUACCUUGGGUCUAAAUGAGGGAGAAACUGGAACUUUUCAUUGGUGUUAUAAUUAUUUGGUUUGUUAACUGUUUUGUGUUGAACUUAAUAAAUAAUAACUUAUUUAAUUUAAAUAAAUACUAUUAUAUGCAUGUUUGAUUUUAAUAUACAAAUGUUUACAUAUUUGUAAGCAUUUAAAAUACCUUAUAUUUGGUCAUAAGGUGUGUUUUUUUUUAAGAUUUAUUUAUUCAUGAGAGACCACACAGAGAGAGGCAGAGACAUUGGCAGAGGGAGAAGCAGGCUUCCUGCAGGCUCGAUCCCAGGACUCGAUCCCAGGACUCUGGGAUCAUGACCUGAGCCAAAGACAGACAGACGCUCAACCCACUGAGCCACCCAGGUGCCCCUACUCAUUUUUGAUACAUCCAUUUAGAUCAAAUAAAGAAUGAUCAUGUCACAAAAGGGGGACUUUUUUUGUCCUAAAUGGGAAUUGUCAAGAGGCCUCAAGAAAGAUAAGGUGACAGAUGGCAUAUUUCCAUAACUACACAUCACUGCUUAAAAUCUAUCUCUCAGUAGAGAACUUCAAAAGUAGAUUUCUUGAGACAUAUUUUUUCAGUAUGAAUGUGUUUCUUCUGCUGUAGAGAAAUAACAUCAAAUGCAUAUAUCGACAUUGCAAUAAAGAAACAAACUAUUAGAUAAGAAAAUCCAGAAUGGUGGAUAGAUGGGAGGGGUUGGGAUUCUCAAAUGAAAACAAAGAGAGGCAGCCCCCCCCCCUUUUUGAGAAGUAUCUGUACUUGCUUUAUCUCAUCCUCACGGUGGUAUUUAAAAGAAUAGAAGAGUAAUUUCAUGCUAAUAGGACUGGACAAAAAAGCUCUGUCUAGCAUGGCACUGUCCUCAGGUUGGGCUGGGAGGAAAGUAUUCUCUCCUGCAGUGAGUUCAUUUAUAUUUUAAAUAUCUGCUAGACUAUGGCAAAAUGACUCCCUCUUAAUCAUCACUAUUGAGAAUGAAUAAAUACAUGCAUUUAUCUUGCAUGUGGUAAUUGGCUGCAAAGUAUUCAGCAAUCCUUUCAUUAGGGUGAUGAGAUCCAAAUAUAGAUGGCAAGUAUGUUUAUUGGAAACUAAUAGACUCAUCUGAAGUGUAAAAAAGUCCUGUAAAUGUAGUGGUUUGCAGAGAUGUGUGUGUGUAUAAGGUAGACAUGUGUGCACAAGCAUGCAUAUGUGUUUUACAGGGAGCAAUAGGAAGGAAGAAAGCUAAUCAUUCAUUCUCCUGCCACUUUAAGUUCUUCUUUGGAAUGAAGAUGCGUACCCAGUGUAAUUCACUUCUUUUGGUAUAAUCAAUGAGUGGUUUUUCCACUCUUCCUUCUAAUGUUUGAGUUUGAGAUCCCACUGAGUAGUCUCUGUUUCUGUGAGCACCAUGAUGGGUUACAGACAUCAGUGGGUACCCCUGUGUGCCAUUUAAAAAGUGCUGCACCACUCUCUUCCUCCUUUCUGCAUCUCAGAUUGGCUUUGAAUAAUUACAAUUGUAUAUUCAGGGCUCUCACUUGGAUCUUACUAGGAGUGGUGCAACAGGCAGCAUUUUGGUUUCCAUGACCCCCAACACUCGCCAUCGGAUGCUACACUUGUGAAUAUGUCACCACAGCAACAACAACAACAACAACAAAAAUAAAUACAGAUUUCAGUCCCUGGAAGUGGGGUGCUUCUGAAAGAAAUACCUAAAAAUGUGAAUGCCGCUUUGAAAUCAGGCAGUGGCCAGAAGCUGGAGGGAUCUCGAGAAGCCUAAUAUUAGUAAAAACCUUGACUGCCUUGGACAAACUAUUAACAGAGAUAUGGAUGUUAAGGAUUCUGGUAGCAAGGACUUAGAGGAGAUGAAAACCUUUGUACAAAACCCCCACGUUCCCUCAGAGGAUGCCUAAGCAUCACAUAUUGAUAAAAAUAUGCAUGUUAUGCUGCUGGUGGGAAUACACAGAGCAGGCUCGGGAAUGCUGCACAUAAAGGCUCAGAAGAGAGUGAGGAAAUGUGCUUGGAAACUAGAGGAAGAGGAGCCCUGUCAUGUAUUGGCAAAGAGCUUAGUGAAAUUGUGUUUGGCAGUUAUGAAGAAAACAGAACUUGUAAAAGACAAGCUUGGUCAUUUAACUGAGAAGAUCCUCAAGCUUGGUAUUAAAGGUACAGCCUUAUUUUCAUCUUGCUGUUUAUAGUGAAAGGUGAGGAGAGUGAGAGAAAUUGAGGGAAGACCUGCCAAGCAAGAAAUGAGAAGGAUUGGAUGGCUUGGAAAAUCGGCAGUCUCUCCAGAUAGCAAAGCCACUUCAAAGAAGAAAUUCACUGUCAGGAAUGCAACCUCUAGAGACAUGCAGAGUAUGGCUUUUUUUUUAAUUUAUUUUUAUUGGUGUUCAAUUUGCCAACAUAUAAAAUAUCACCCAAGAGCUCAUCCCAUCAAGUGCUAUUUUAACCUUUGGCUUCAGAAGGACCAGAAGGCUUGGCUUUAUGAAAAGGUGAUUCCUUAAUACAAAAGAGUUUGGGAAGAGAUUGAGAAUGUGGGAAGUCAGUAAUUUCAACAAAUUCAGGAGAAGAAAGUACAAAAAAUUAAUAUUAUUAUGUCCAUGACAGUGAAACGAGUAAAGUCCACAGUACAACUUUUACCAAGUAGAACUGAAGGUCCAUUCAAGACCAAGACCUGCCUCUUUAUCUCAGUUGUCCUGAUUUUGGUUUCUUCCUUAUGCUCAUAAUAUCAUAACUGAAAGACUGUGUGCAAAUAAGAGAAACUGAAAUUGAAGCAGAGCCAACCAGAGCUAAGAAAUUUUAUCAUAGGGGAAGGAAUUUGAGGGAGCUUGAUAAUGUAAAAAAACAAAAAACAAAAAACAAACAAACAAAAAAA
This 3510-nucleotide long non-coding RNA is filed under the name Canis lupus familiaris (dog). RNAcentral describes it as "lncRNA (ENSCAFG00000050262.1)". The record is from RNAcentral. Lineage: Eukaryota; Metazoa; Chordata; Mammalia; Carnivora; Canidae.